GACGAACGCUGGCGGUGUGCCUAAUACAUGCAAGUAGAACGGUGACGAGAGGAGCUUGCUCUCCUUGGAUGAGUUGCUAACGGGCGAGUAAGGAGUAGGUCAGAUGCUUUGUAGUGGGGGAUGACUAUUGGGAAAGAUUGCUACUAAUACAUAAUAAUAGCUGAGACAUGACACAUAUUUGAAAGGGGCAAUUGCCCAACUACUGGAUCGACCUGGGUUGUAUUAGCUAGUUGGUGGGGUAAUGGCCCACCAAGGCGACGAUCGGUAGCCGGACUGAGAGGAUGAUCAGCAAAACUGGAACUGGGACACGGUCCAGACUCCUACGGGAGGAAGCAGUGGGGAAUAUUGGACAAUGGGCGCAAGCCUGACCCAGCAAUCCCGCGUGGGUGAAGAAGGCUUUCGGGUUGUAAACUCCUUUUGUUGGGAAAGAAAAGCAGCAGGUUAAUAACCCGCUGUUCUGACGGUACCUAACGAAUAAGCACCGGCUAACUUCGUG
RNAcentral lists this ribosomal RNA (496 nucleotides) under uncultured bacterium. RNAcentral's name for it is "partial 16S ribosomal RNA". It matches the Rfam family "Bacterial small subunit ribosomal RNA", at positions 28 to 507 of the family's 1533-position model. The record is from RNAcentral.